GGCUGCAGAAUAACCUGUGAAAGCCGCGGCUCGGGCCCACCCCCUGCCUGUCCUACUUUGCGGGAGACUUGGGACAGGCGGGGCUGCUCCCUUCCGAGAGCAAAGGCUUGACCCCGGUGUCCGCAUACCUGGACCUUUACCAAGAUGGCCGCUCGCGCUGCUUUCCCGCUGCCGAAACCAUGUUGGUCAAGUGGGCAGUCGGCCUCCGGACCCCGUAUAUGGCACCCUUCUGGACAGCGGCUGCUGCCUCCCAGAUUUCUCUACACCUGCUUUGCUCUGGACUGGGACUGCUUCUCACAGAGCCCCAGGACAUUCUAAGGCAUCUCUUAGGGAGAAAAACAGCUUUGCUUUGAUGUUAAGUCUGGUCCCUGAUAAAUAAGAUUAUCAGUCAGAGCUGGAAAAGCCCUUUAGAAAUCAUCCAAUCCUAUUUCCUUUUUUUUUUUCACAUGAGGAAACUGAGACCCAGAGAAAUUAAGUGAUAUUCUGUAGAUAACUUAUGUGCCAGCAUAUAUCUGCACCCUGCACCCAGAUACUGACAGUGCCAUCCCCUUCCUGCAAAAACUCACAUUGUUAUUAAUACUUAAAUAGACCAGCGACUUCAUCAAAACGGGCACUACUUUUUUCAAUAUCAAUCAAAUCCCAUCCAGAUCUAUUUGAUUUAAAUAUAGAUUCUCGCGUCCUGGGACUGAGCUAGCUAAUAUUUUCCAUUCAGAGCAGUUUAAUAGUAAUUAAAAAUGGAGUGGCACCUACGCCAUAUGCCUAGUUGGAAUGAGAGAUAUUUUAAUCUAACGUUUGUGGAGUUCCUGGUGUGAAGUAGAUAUUAAAUAUUAAUGAUAUCAGU
Sarcophilus harrisii (Tasmanian devil) is the source of this 841-nucleotide long non-coding RNA. RefSeq lists it as uncharacterized. The record is from RefSeq and is a predicted model, not a curated record. Lineage: Eukaryota; Metazoa; Chordata; Mammalia; Dasyuromorphia; Dasyuridae. The transcript has 2 exons.